GAUGAACGCUGGCGGCGUGCUUAACACAUGCAAGUCAAACGAAGCACCUUGAUUUGAUUCUUCGGAUGAAGAUCUUGGUGACUGAGUGGCGGACGGGUGAGUAACGCGUGGGUAACCUGCCUCAUACAGGGGGAUAACAGUUAGAAAUGACUGCUAAUACCGCAUAAGACCACAGCACCGCAUGGUGCAGGGGUAAAAACUCCGGUGGUAUGAGAUGGACCCGCGUCUGAUUAGGUAGUUGGUGGGGUAACGGCCUACCAAGCCGACGAUCAGUAGCCGACCUGAGAGGGUGACCGGCCACAUUGGGACUGAGACACGGCCCAAACUCCUACGGGAGGCAGCAGUGGGGAAUAUUGUACAAUGGGGGAAACCCUGAUGCAGCGACGCCGCGUGAGCGAUGAAGUAUUUCGGUAUGUAAAGCUCUAUCAGCAGGGAAGAAAAUGACGGUACCUGACUAAGAAGCACCGGCUAAAUACGUG
Molecule: ribosomal RNA, 479 nt
Filed under: uncultured bacterium
Lineage: Bacteria
Description: partial 16S ribosomal RNA
Rfam family: Bacterial small subunit ribosomal RNA
Source: RNAcentral